GGAAGUUAAGAAACUGUUUCUUAAAUUUUAACUAAAAAACCUAAAAACCGGUUCUUAAAUAAGGAUUUUAAGAACCGGUUCUUAACUUUUUUAGUUAAAAAUUAAAAAACGGUUUCUUAACUUAC
Brassica oleracea var. oleracea is the source of this 125-nucleotide microRNA precursor. It matches the Rfam family "MIR9563 microRNA precursor family". Lineage: Eukaryota; Viridiplantae; Streptophyta; Magnoliopsida; Brassicales; Brassicaceae. The record is from Rfam.